GAAAAUUCAACCAAGCGCGGGUAAACGGCGGGAGUAACUAUGACUCUCUUAAGGUAGCCAAAUGCCUCGUCAUCUAAUUAGUGACGCGCAUGAAUGGAUUAACGAGAUUCUCACUGUCCCUAUCUACCAUCUAGCGAAACCACAGCUAAGGGAACGGGCUUAGCAUAAUCAGCGGGGAAAGAAGACCCUGUUGAGCUUGACUCUAGUCAGACUUUGAGAAAUGACAUGAAGAAUAUAGCAUAGGUGGGAGAUUACUUAAAAUGAUCGACUUUGAAAUACCACUGUCUUUAUAGUUGUUUUUCUUAUUUAAUUGGGUAGAAACAGGGCCAAAAAGCCCUUUUUCUUGAGUUAAUUGGAAUGAUACGCUUGGGGGGGUAUUAUUGUUUGGUCUCUGAAAGGGGAUCAAGUGGUAGUAUCUUUUAUCCCCAGGCCUCUGCAUCCGAGAUCUAGGUUAAAGACAUUGUCUGGUGGGGGAGUUUGGCUGGGGCGGCACAUCUGUUAAAAGCUAACACAGGUGUCCUAAGAGGAGC
RNAcentral lists this ribosomal RNA (530 nucleotides) under uncultured eukaryote. RNAcentral describes it as "eukaryotic LSU rRNA". It matches the Rfam family "Eukaryotic large subunit ribosomal RNA", at positions 2226 to 2673 of the family's 3401-position model. The record is from RNAcentral.